AAUAUAAGCAUGGAUAGAAAAUGAAAUAAUCCCUCUUGUUCUCAAAAACUAAAGCAUAAAGAGAGUAAGAGACGGUAUAUAAUGGUAGCAACCUAAAAAAGCUAUCAAAACAAACAGAAAUGAAGAAUACCCAGAUACCUCUAGGUCCUAAGGCCUCCCUGCAUUCUUUACCAAAAGAUACCCUCUUUGGGCCUGCCUUAACAGCAAUACUCCUCACAAAAUUUGUGCUUCUCCACAACCCAGUUGCCCUUUGGUUCCAAUAAAAGCU
This is a long non-coding RNA of Quercus lobata, 268 nucleotides long. RefSeq lists it as uncharacterized. NCBI's taxonomy places the organism in Eukaryota, Viridiplantae, Streptophyta, Magnoliopsida, Fagales, Fagaceae. The transcript is spliced from 2 exons. The record is from RefSeq and is a predicted model, not a curated record.